This 266-nucleotide ribosomal RNA is filed under the name uncultured bacterium. Its description in RNAcentral is "partial 16S ribosomal RNA". It matches the Rfam family "Bacterial small subunit ribosomal RNA", at positions 793 to 1055 of the family's 1533-position model. The record is from RNAcentral.
GUCCUAGCCCUAAACGAUGAUUGCUUGGUGUAGCAGGUAUCCAAUCCUGCUGUGCCGCAGCUAACGCGAUAAGCAAUCCGCCUGGGGAGUACGGUAGCAAGGCUGAAACUCAAAGGAAUUGACGGGGGCCCCGCACAAGCGGUGGAGCAUGUGGUUCAAUUCGACGCAACGCGAAGAACCUUACCUGGGCUCGAAGCGCAGUGGACCGGGGUAGAAAUAUCCAUUCCCCUUAAAAGGCUGCUGCGGAGGUGCUGCAUGGCUGUCGU